GUAAGUUACUUUCCAACAAUGGCAUUCGAGAGUGGAAAGUUGAACCGUAAGUUUGGCUGGAAGAGCAAGCAUUCUGUUCAUCUGCAGACAUCCUCUUUCUCUCUCUUUUGGCACUCAUGACUGUUUUUUUUUUUUCUUUUGUGGAAGAACCUGUGUUUGGCAGCAUAGGCCUGUCAGCAUCCUUGUAAACUACAGCUUCUCUUAGUGAAAGGCCUUGCAUAGUGGGUGCUUAGCUUUCUUUCACGGGCUCCGAGGACUCUCCUUCUGGGAAGAUCCGCAGUUCCCUUCCAUUCUGCCUUGAGGUGGCAGGUGCUGCAGGCAGGCUUUGUUCCUGAACCUACUCUGAGUCCUGACCUGAGCACUUGAAUGGCAGUGAGACUUUGGAAAAGAUACUUCACAGCUUUGAAUCUUGAUUUCCUCAGCUGUAAGACGGGCAUCUUGAGGAACACGCAAGGAAAGGAGAAUGAAGGCAUCUCACACGCAAGAUGGUCCAGAUGCCCCCUGGAAGAGGCAUCUUCGUCUUCAACAGAUUGAGGACAGUUGGCUGCCAUUCACUGCUUGCGAAGGGAAAAAGGCUUAAACUUCAGGAAAUAGAUUUGGAACCGGAUCAAUCCCAUCCUCGACUCUGCCAUCCUUCUGUCAGAAUUAUAAACAGAAG
Molecule: long non-coding RNA, 658 nt
Filed under: Felis catus (domestic cat)
Lineage: Eukaryota; Metazoa; Chordata; Mammalia; Carnivora; Felidae
Description: lncRNA (ENSFCAG00000052188.1)
Source: RNAcentral